Molecule: long non-coding RNA, 255 nt
Filed under: Lathyrus oleraceus (garden pea)
Lineage: Eukaryota; Viridiplantae; Streptophyta; Magnoliopsida; Fabales; Fabaceae
Description: Pisum sativum (pea) long non-coding RNA (PSAT_LNC008355)
Source: RNAcentral
UAGUCAAAAAAUACUUCGCAUAAAUUGACCCGCUGGACGAAAAGAAUAAAAGAGUCCAGGCAAAAAAGGGCAUCCCGGCGAACCAAGAAAAAAAGAAAAAGGUUCGGGCAAAAGUUAGGGAUAAAGUAGUCAAAAAAUACUUCGCAUAAAUUGACCCGCUGGACGAAAAGAAUAAAAGAGUCCAGGCAAAAAAGGGCAUCCCGGCGAACCAAGAAAAAAAGAAAAAGGUUCGGGCAAAAGUUAGGGAUAAAGAAU